Molecule: ribosomal RNA, 211 nt
Filed under: uncultured bacterium
Lineage: Bacteria
Description: partial 16S ribosomal RNA
Rfam family: Bacterial small subunit ribosomal RNA
Source: RNAcentral
AGUUCGGAUUGUAGUCUGCAACUCGACUACAUGAAGCUGGAAUCGCUAGUAAUCGCGGAUCAGAAUGCCGCGGUGAAUACGUUCCCGGGUCUUGUACACACCGCCCGUCACACCAUGGGAGUCGGGAAUGCCCGAAGCCAGUGACCCAAGCGAAAGCAGGGAGCUGUCGAAGGCAGGCCGGAUAACUGGGGUGAAGUCGUAACAAGGUAUC